AGAUUCAGCACUUUGCCAUGAAGAUAUUUUGUGCCUUGUCCUUGAUGCUAUUUAUAGAACUCAUGGUUGCUCCAGACUGAUCAGUUAUUGUCCUCUUCUGGUUGUGCAGGAUUCACCAGUUACAGAUAAAAGGACCUCUAUGAUUUCCUGAAGCUCUGGACCCUUUCUUCU
Molecule: long non-coding RNA, 171 nt
Organism: Lacerta agilis (Sand lizard)
Lineage: Eukaryota; Metazoa; Chordata; Lepidosauria; Squamata; Lacertidae
Exons: 3
Source: RefSeq, a predicted model, not a curated record